This is a long non-coding RNA of Oncorhynchus nerka (sockeye salmon), 756 nucleotides long. RefSeq lists it as uncharacterized. The record is from RefSeq and is a predicted model, not a curated record. NCBI's taxonomy places the organism in Eukaryota, Metazoa, Chordata, Actinopteri, Salmoniformes, Salmonidae. The transcript has 3 exons.
UUAAAUUUUCUUGCUUUCCCCCUCAUCAUGGGACUGGGAUGAUCUGACUAGUGGCUAUGAUUUCUCCUUGCUGGUGUACGAGAGGACAAAGAGUGAGGUCUUUUCCGAUUCCCUGGGAAACUCAAGCUCUCUCCGAGUGAAGAUUUAAAGAGGGAGAGCCACCGCCUAAAUGUAGCUUGAUGAUGGCCUGCGAAACAAAUGUGAGGAUGUAUACCUUGCGCCGGGUGCAGGAUUCUAUCAGGGCGAACCGGAGUGUAGAAGACCCUAAGACGGUGAAGCAGCUCUUAAACCAGGGCAGGGAUAACCUAGACAUCAACCAAAGACAGUGCCGCUGCAACAGAGUGCUAAUCACAGCUGAUGCCCUGCUGUUGGCUGCUUUGUCCCCAUAAUGCACUCCAACCUCCAAACCCAUUCCCAGGGGAUCAUGGCGAAGAAUGCAACCCUCUCUCUUAGGUAUAUCUCCAUCGGUCUGUCUUCUCUGUCUCGCUUUCUCUUUUUGCAUAUCAUUCACUCUUUCUCUACCUGUAACUUCCUUCAUACUGGACACAGAGACCUUAACAUGGUAUCCACGAGUUCAUCUGAUUCUGGGGAAGUAGAUGCCAAAAUCCCAAAGUAUCCCUUUAACCAUCAAGGUAGUUUCACUUUUGCUGUAGUUUGACUGACGGCUAACACACAUUAAAAUAUGCCGUUAGUAAAACGGCCACGUGGUCGAUAAUCUACACAGACGGGCUCACACGCCAUAAUUAAAAUGGCCAG